GAUGAACGCUGGCGGCGUGCCUAAUACAUGCAAGUCGAGCGAACGGACGAGAAGCUUGCUUUUCUGAUGUUAGCGGCGGACGGGUGAGUAACACGUGGAUAACCUACCUAUAAGACUGGGAUAAGUUCGGGAAACCGGAGCUAAUACCGGAUAAUAUUUUGAACCGCAUGGUUCAAAAGUGAAAGACGGUCUUGCUGUCACUGAUAGAUGGAUCCGCGCGGCAUUAGCUAGUUGGUAAGGUAACGGCUUACCAAGGCAACGAUGCAUAGCCGACCUGAGAGGGUGAUCGGCCACACUGGAACUGAGACACGGUCCAGACUCCUACGGGAGGCAGCAGUAGGGAAUCUUCCGCAAUGGGCGAAAGCCUGACGGAGCAACGCCGCGUGAGUGAUGAAGGUCUUCGGAUCGUAAAACUCUGUUAUUAGGGAAGAACAUAUGUGUAAGUAACUGUGCACAUCUUGACGGUACCUAAUCAGAAAGCCACGGCUAACUACGUG
Molecule: ribosomal RNA, 497 nt
Filed under: uncultured bacterium
Lineage: Bacteria
Description: partial 16S ribosomal RNA
Rfam family: Bacterial small subunit ribosomal RNA
Source: RNAcentral